GCAUCCCGCCCGAUCUGCGAAGUUAAGCAACGUUGGGCUGACGUCAGUACCAGAAUCGGAGACGGUCUGGGAACACGCAGUGUCGUAGACU
Molecule: ribosomal RNA, 91 nt
Filed under: Trichinella sp. T6
Lineage: Eukaryota; Metazoa; Nematoda; Enoplea; Trichinellida; Trichinellidae
Source: RNAcentral